UUUCAAGACCUUUGAAGGUGGGUUUUGACUUCCAAUUUUCUUUGGUUUGAAGAGAUGAUCCAAUGCUGAAUGCCGAAGUGCGAUGCAAACAUGGUAUUUUGCUGCAAAUGCAAACUUAUUGGUCAGAUCGGAAUCCCGGAAGAUGAUUUUGGUCUUGUCCUCACUAUGAGGCCACAAAUUGCAAGUUUUUCAAAUGGAGAGACAAUGAAACAGUUGAUGAAAGAUCAAAGUUUAUUCUUCCAAUAUUGGUAAACAAAAUCAAAGAGUUAGAAGAAAAUUACGACCGUCUUAAGCUGUAUUUGGAUGAUCUUGAAGAUUCAAAACAGAAUGUUGAUUUAAAAGAGAAGAGUA
Non-coding RNA from Nicotiana tabacum (common tobacco), 351 nucleotides. Lineage: Eukaryota; Viridiplantae; Streptophyta; Magnoliopsida; Solanales; Solanaceae. The record is from RefSeq and is a predicted model, not a curated record.